GGCCUAUUAACUCAGUUGGUUAGAGCGUCGUGCUAAUAACGCGAAGGCCAUAGGUUUGAAACCCGUAUGGGCCA
Molecule: transfer RNA, 74 nt
Filed under: Zingiber officinale
Lineage: Eukaryota; Viridiplantae; Streptophyta; Magnoliopsida; Zingiberales; Zingiberaceae
Rfam family: tRNA
About the family: Transfer RNA (tRNA) molecules are approximately 80 nucleotides in length. Their secondary structure includes four short double-helical elements and three loops (D, anti-codon, and T loops).
Source: Rfam by way of RNAcentral